GUAACAAGGUUUCCGUAGGUGAACCUGCGGAAGGAUCAUUCAUAAUAAGUGUUUUAUGGCACUUUUUUAAAUCCAUAUCCACCUUGUGUGCAAUGUCAGGGUUGGUUUCUCUCUUUUGAGAGAUCAACCCCAAACAUCAACUCUAUCUUAACUCUUUGUCUGAAAAAUAUUAUGAAUAAAACAAUUCAAAAUACAACUUUCAACAACGGAUCUCUUGGCUCUCGCAUCGAUGAAGAACGCAGCGAAAUGCGAUACGUAAUGUGAAUUGCAGAAUUCAGUGAAUCAUCGAAUCUUUGAACGCAUAUUGCGCUCUUUGGUAUUCCGAAGAGCAUGCUUGUUUGAGUAUCAGUAAACACCUCAAAGCCUUUUUUCUUUUUUGAAGAAAGGCUUUGGACUUGAGCAAUCCCAACACCAAUCUUUUAAAGAGAGGGGGCGGGUUGCUUGAAAUGCAGGUGCAGCUGGACAUUCUCCUGAGCUAAAAGCAUAUUCAUUUAGUCCCGUCAAACGGAUUAUUACUUUUGCUGCAGCUAACAUAAAGGGAGUUUGACCAUUUUGGCUGACUGAUGCAGGAUUUUCACAAGAGUCUUCAAAACCUCUUGUUAAACUCGAUCUCAAAUCAAGUAAGACUACCCGCUGAACCUAAGCA
RNAcentral lists this unclassified non-coding RNA (646 nucleotides) under Linnemannia hyalina. RNAcentral's name for it is "sequence contains 18S rRNA gene, ITS1, 5.8S rRNA gene, ITS2, 28S rRNA gene". The stretch from base 195 to 348 matches the Rfam family "5.8S ribosomal RNA". The record is from RNAcentral. Lineage: Eukaryota; Fungi; Mortierellomycota; Mortierellomycetes; Mortierellales; Mortierellaceae.